Molecule: long non-coding RNA, 1219 nt
Organism: Papaver somniferum (opium poppy)
Lineage: Eukaryota; Viridiplantae; Streptophyta; Magnoliopsida; Ranunculales; Papaveraceae
Exons: 5
Source: RefSeq, a predicted model, not a curated record
AUCUGAUUUGUUUUGAUGUGCUCUCGAUGAAAUAAUUGUCAAUGGGGGCUUGUCAUUCCAUACUACUCAAAUGGGAGUCCUUUUGACACAAAUGAUCAGAAGCUUUGAGAAAACGGUAACUAAGGAUGCAAUUCAAGGUUGUGAAGCUGGGAAAACAGUAGCUUUUUGUGUUCUGGAUGCAUCUAUCAGUACUGAUCAAGAGCGGUUCUUCUUAGGCCAGCCACAAAGCAGAGGCUUUUUAAAGUCAUUAGCAAUAUGUCCUCUCAGCGAGGAUCUAUUUUUGAAGCUUAACCUGCUAUGCUGUUGAGGAUUAAUCACAGUUAUGGAAGUCUGGUGCCAAGUUGUUGAUUUCUACAGGUGCCAUUGAACGUCUUGCUUCAUGCAAGAUGUUGGGUUUGCCAUUGAAGGUAUCAAUGCUCACUAGUUUAUCUUAUUCUAUGUGUUUAUAAGAAUGUGUGUUUCCAGGGAGGCUUCAGUCGGUUUAAAGCUAAAGGUGGGUCGAAGCUAAAGGUGGCAGAGAUGGUAGAAGAGAGUACUACGAAACAAAAAAGUACUACCACAGUAACAACUUGGGUUAAUGUAGCUGUCAAAUGGUUCUAGUGAUCAAAAGAUGUAUUGAAUCCAUCCUUACAUUUACCAAAGGAUGGAUCCACUUCCUGAGCAAGAACGUUCUGAGUUACGAAUAAUUAUGCUUAAACACAGCCUCUCGUGGAUAAUUUAGAGGCCCAAACUUGUAAAACAUUUCAGAGAGAUACAAGUAAGUACAGACAGGUGUGGAUGAUAGUAACGCUCCCUCCCAAACUUAUAAAACAUUUCGUAUAUGUUGUGCUUCACAAAUUUGCUAAUUCAGGUACACAAGUUUUAUACAACCCGUGAGUCGUGAUGUAAGUUUAAAGUUUCAUUAUACCAUGUUUAGUUGCAAUGUAGUAGACCUUAGAACUCAGUCAAGGUUAUUUGCAGGUGAAGUUACAGAAGUACCUUGUGCACUUCGAAACUGCUUAUGUAGUCAAGUUGCAGAGUUGGCAAGGCUCGCACCUUCACAACCUGUGCACUCUCUAAACUGGUCCUUGGUUAAGCACUUACUUGCCAUAUAGAUGAUUGGACACUCUUCCUUGUUUGUACCAGAAAUACCUGGAAGAUCUGCUCCAGGGAGAGAAACAACUAAUAUCAGAUGCUGCACAUAUUUGACUGCCUAAGGCUUGAUUCUAAAGGAUAUGGA